This 421-nucleotide ribosomal RNA is filed under the name uncultured bacterium. RNAcentral's name for it is "partial 16S ribosomal RNA". It matches the Rfam family "Bacterial small subunit ribosomal RNA", at positions 360 to 774 of the family's 1533-position model. The record is from RNAcentral.
AAUUUUGGACAAUGGGGGCAACCCUGAUCCAGCCAUCCCGCGUGUGCGAUGAAGGNCUNNGGGUUNUNAAGCACUUUUGCCGGNNNNNAAAAGGCCCCGAUUAAUACCUGGCCCCGCGGACGGUACCUGCAGAAUAAGACCCGGCUAACUACGUGCAAGCAGCCGCGGUAAUACGUAGGGUGCAAGCGUUAAUCGGAAUUACUGGGCGUAAAGCGUGCGUAGGCGGUUUGGCAAGAAAGAUGUGAAAUCCCAGGGCUUAACCUUGGAACUGCAUUUUUAACUGCCAGGCUAGAGUAUGUCAGAGGGGGGUAGAAUUCCACGUGUAGCAGUGAAUGCGUAGAGAUGUGGAGGAAUACCGAUGGCGAAGGCAGCCCCCUGGGAUAAUACUGACGCUCAGGCACGAAAGCGUGGGGAGCAAACA